Molecule: unclassified non-coding RNA, 213 nt
Filed under: Hevea brasiliensis (rubber tree)
Lineage: Eukaryota; Viridiplantae; Streptophyta; Magnoliopsida; Malpighiales; Euphorbiaceae
Source: RNAcentral
AGAGUUUUCAAUGACCUCAAUCUGUUUGCGCUUCCACUUUUGCUUUCUUCGGUCGUUGUUACUUUUGCGCUUGUGGUUACAUCCCAUAAUUUCACAGUACAAUCAGCAGAGCCAGAUGCAAGCAGUGAACCUUCACAACUGAAAGCUAGUGUCCACACGCAUGAAUUGUGGCCCAUCAAAGGCAAAACACAGCGGCCACUUGAAAGGUCCCAC